UACAGAGGUGGCAAGCGUUGUUCGGAAUUACUGGGCGUAAAGAGCGUGUAGGCGGUCCGGUAAGUCCGCUGUGAAAGUCGGGGGCUCAACCCUCGAAUGCCGGUGGAUACUGUCGGGCUAGAGUGCGGAAGAGGCGAGUGGAAUUCCUGGUGUAGCGGUGAAAUGCGCAGAUAUCAGGAGGAACACCUAUUGCGAAGGCAGCUCGCUGGGACGUAACUGACGCUGAGACGCGAAAGCGUGGGGAGCAAACAGG
RNAcentral lists this ribosomal RNA (253 nucleotides) under uncultured bacterium. Its description in RNAcentral is "partial 16S ribosomal RNA". It matches the Rfam family "Bacterial small subunit ribosomal RNA", at positions 524 to 776 of the family's 1533-position model. The record is from RNAcentral.